AGCUUUGCGCAGUGGCAGUAUCGUAGCCAAUGAGGUUUAUCUGAGGCGCGAUUAUUGCUAAUUGAAAACUUAAAGAAGAAGAUCCUC
This 87-nucleotide small nuclear RNA is filed under the name Capra hircus (goat). RNAcentral's name for it is "U4 spliceosomal RNA (ENSCHIG00010006406.1, ENSCHIG00020029679.1, ENSCHIG00040026584.1)". It matches the Rfam family "U4 spliceosomal RNA", at positions 1 to 85 of the family's 138-position model. Rfam says of the family: U4 small nuclear RNA (U4 snRNA) is a component of the major U2-dependent spliceosome. Lineage: Eukaryota; Metazoa; Chordata; Mammalia; Artiodactyla; Bovidae. The record is from RNAcentral.